Molecule: ribosomal RNA, 453 nt
Filed under: uncultured bacterium
Lineage: Bacteria
Description: bacterial SSU rRNA
Rfam family: Bacterial small subunit ribosomal RNA
Source: RNAcentral
UGGGGAAUAUUGGACAAUGGGCGCAAGCCUGAUCCAGCCAUGCCGCGUGAGUGAAGAAGGCCUUAGGGUUGUAAAACUCUUUCGCCGGGGAAGAUAAUGACGGUACCCGGAGAAGAAGCUCCGGCUAACUUCGUGCCAGCAGCCGCGGUAAUACGAAGGGAGCUAGCGUUGUUCGGAAUUAUUGGGCGUAAAGAGCUCGUAGGCGGUUCAGUAAGUCGGGUGUGAAAACUUUGGGCUUAACCCAAAGCGUGCAUCCGAUACUGCUGUGACUUGAGUACGGUAGGGGAGAGGUGAGUGGAAUUCCUAGUGUAGAGGUGAAAUUCGUAGAUAUUCGGAAGAACACCAGUGGCGAAGGCGGCUCACUGGACGUGUAUUGACGCUGAGGUACGAAAGCGUGGGGAGCAAACAGGAUUAGAUACCCCGGUAGUCCCUGAGCGGGCUGGCAAGGCGCAU